UAAGGAAUAUUGGUCAAUGGGCGAAAGCCUGAACCAGCCAUCCCGCGUGCAGGAUGACUGCCCUAUGGGUUGUAAACUGCUUUAGACUGAGAAGAAACCCCUCAAUGCGUUGGGGGCUGACGGUAUCAGUAGAAUAAGCACCGGCUAACUCCGUGCCAGCAGCCGCGGUAAUACGGAGGGUGCAAGCGUUAUCCGGAAUCACUGGGUUUAAAGGGUGCGUAGGCGGCUUGAUAAGUCAGAGGUGAAAGCCCGCAGCUUAACUGCGGAACGGCCUUUGAUACUGUUGAGCUUGAAACAGGACGAGGUUGGCGGAAUGUGGCAUGUAGCGGUGAAAUGCAUAGAUAUGCCAUAGAACACCGAUUGCGAAGGCAGCUGGCUAGACCUGAUUUGACGCUGAGGCACGAAAGCGUGGGGAGCGAACAGG
This 424-nucleotide ribosomal RNA is filed under the name uncultured Saprospiraceae bacterium. Its description in RNAcentral is "bacterial SSU rRNA". It matches the Rfam family "Bacterial small subunit ribosomal RNA", at positions 355 to 776 of the family's 1533-position model. The record is from RNAcentral. Lineage: Bacteria; Pseudomonadati; Bacteroidota; Saprospiria; Saprospirales; Saprospiraceae.